UUUUUUUUUUUUUUUUUUUUUUUGCUGUGUUUCCACCAUUAUUCUGAGGGCAGUCCUGUGAACGAGUGGAGAUUUGAUAAGGCUAACAUCAGUUGAAUGUAAGAAGUACUGUUGUGUAGUUGACAUAAUUGUAAAUAGUACAUGUUGCAUAUGAGUGUACAGUUCAAUAUAAUAAAUGAUUUAAAAAAGACAACUGAUGGUCUCUUUUGGAGACCAAAGAGAACUAUGAAAAAAGAAUUAUUUUAAUAAAUGAGACAUUGUAGAAGAUGAUCCCUAAAGGUGAUUUCCAGAUAAGUAAAAGUUUACUUGUGGACAUGAACUGUGUUUUUGGAUUUCCUGCUGUAAGCACAAGCUUUAUUUAUUUAUUUUUUAAAGCUUUUAUUUAUUUAUUCAUGAGAGACACAGAGAGAGGCAGAGACACAGGCAGAGGGAGAAGCAGGCUCCAUGCAGGGAGCCCGACGUGGGACUCGAUCCCAGGACCCUGGGGUCAUGCCCUGAGCCCAAAGCAGACACUCAACCACUGAGCCAUGAGGCGUCCCUAAACACAAGCUUUUUGGCUUUUCUUUCUUUUAAUUUUUCCCUUUUUUUGUAGUAUUAUAUUCGUUAUUGCCAGCCAGAUACAUUUUUGCCCCAAAGGCCUAUAUAACAUUAUAUAUAGAAGCAUAAAUUAUAGGAAUUAUUAUUUUUUAUUUCUUUUAUAUAUACAGCUUAUUGCAUAUAAAUAUACAAUGUUUAUGUUGCUUUGGGGGCUUCAUACUAGAAGUUCAAAUAGCAUUUAUGAGAGGAAAUGAGACAUCUGUGUCUACUUUAUCUUUGCCAUCCCUUUUUCCUGACCCAUUGGAAGAAUCCGCAUGUUUUUACCCUCCGAGUGGUCUUCUCAAGCUCGGAGGUGAUGUGAUCCUAUGCCAGCAGUUGAGAUACUGCCUCUUGAUUUCUAGCCUUUUGAUCGUGACAAAGAUUGCUAUUUUCUUCACAAGCCAGCCAGCUCUGUGUGCUAUUCUGGGAGCCAUUCCUGGCCCAGCCUACCCUCCAUACUCUCCACUGACUUGGUAUGCCUCUACUGCCCUCUAUUAUAAGCCCCGUUUACGCAAUAUAGCUAAAUUUGAUUUUGUUUUCUGCAACUUCAGCUUCAUCAAUGAAAGGAUCCAACUCCUGCUUCAAGUCCCGUAACCAUGUAGGACUCUCUCUUGAUGAAACCUCUCAUUUCAGUGUUGAUAAAAAUAACGAGCUUUCUUCUAGGAGUGAUAAGUUGUGUAUGACACCCUAAGGAACCCUAUCUUGGUAGUUCUAGUUGUGUUUCAUGCUUUUCCCCUCAUAGCAUAAGCCCCUCAAAUGGUAGCUGUGUGCCAUGUUCCGUUAUAUACCUUACAGGACCUCCUUCUUCUAUUUGAGAGGAAAGAAAAUUAUAAAUUAGAUUACAUUUCAGGAGUAUUACUAACAAUCCUAGACAACGAAAAUGUUAAUGAUGCAUUCAUUUCUUAGAUAGUUCAUUAUAAAAGGAACAUAUCCAAUAAUCUAAUUAAAUGCUGCCUCUUGUACUAUUAUUGUUCCUUUUCCGUAUAUAUAAAAAUGCAUAUUCAGUGCGAGGCAACGAAAAAUGGUCCCUAAUGCCAAAAUGGAAAUGAUGUGCCUUUUGAGAUGGAAAUGAAAUUUUUAUUUGGGUUAUUUCAUAUUCAAGUUAAUACGCAUGAGGAAUGAAAUAAGGUCAUUUUGAGACAUUUUAGUGAUGUGCAGAUGCUCACUAAAGAAGAGGCUGAGAGUAAGAUUUUGUUUAAAAAAUACUAGCGUAGAGAUUUCACUGGUUACACCUUUAGCAGUUAUAAGAAGUCGUUCCACUGUAUUUUAAUUUUUUAACCUCUCAUUACCUCUGAUUAAUGAGAAUUACUUCUACACUAUAUAUAAGGUGACGUGUCAUUAAAUUGUGUCGGAAAUGGGUGACAGUUUCUGAAUGCUUGCCUUGUCUGACUAAAAACAUAAAAACCAUCCAGAAAGAUCCAGACGUCUUGUUCCUGCAUCACCUACUGUCCAUCUCACUCUGACAGUCUCAAAUGAGCAAAACCAAAAAUCACGUGCACAUGCAUGCACUGUUCCCUUGCUGCCGGCACUUAAACUUCUCCAUUUUACUGUGACACUUGCAAAUUACUAAGUGUGCGUCAUUUAUACAUCUAGAAACUGCAUUUCCAAGUUCUACACUGGUUACCACAUUUUGUUUUAUUUUGUAUGCUAAAACACGUUUACAUUAGGUCAGAUAGAUUUCUAAAGAUGACCUCUGCAAUUUGGCUACCAUUCCCAAGAGCUAAUAAGAGGGUGAGAAGAAGCCCACCCCGCACCCCACCCCGCACCCCAAAUCAAUAGCAGUGCCAUUCAUAGAAAAGUAAAUCUCCUCACGUGUCAUCAAUGUCACAUAUUUAAUCAAACACCAACAAACCACAACUUCUUCAUGGUGUGUGGUAGACUCCUCAGAAGAAGCUGGCAUAACCCUUAAGCUCUGCCUUUUGAGGGCACUGAAUGGUUCAUAUUUUGGUCGAUUCGAAUUUGAAUCUUUUUCUUUAAUGUGGAUUUUCCCCUGCCAUUCUUGCAAAAGGGUAGCUUACUCUAAAAUACAGUGACGAAGGUGUUACAGUUCUGUAUCGUCUCAAUAUUUUCAUCUUUAAGUAGGUCUUCACGGUCACUGGUUUCAAAAAGUUUAUGUUAUAGAUGAUGACACCGCAGCCUACAAUAUUUGUAACUCUGAAAAAAAAAAAAAGUGAAUGUGAAGAGUGGGUUUGGGCUGCGGUGUUGAAGACGAGCACUGAAAGAAGUGGUAAGGCCUGUUUCACCUGUAGAGGAAGGGAACAACCCGGGCAAUUAAUUACUCGUUUGUCAAGAGGGUAAACCAUGGCUGCGUAAACGUCAUAGAGGAUACUACAGAGAAAGGAGACGUGGCAUUGCUUGCUCCCUUCCCUCUGUGCCCUCUUGGUACUAAGAUCAAGGGAAUGUUGAAGGAUAAGUAUUGGAAGAGGUCAGGUCACUAAAUGUUUCCCUUUGCUCUGGCUCUGGCUUCAGUCCAUGCUUCCAUCUGAUAGCAGACCAAGAAACUGCUCACUAAGCAGUGCCCUGAGGGAGUAGGCGUAGGAGAACCUUGGAAAGUUUUUAGCAGAAAUUGAUGAAGUCUUCAGAGUCAAAGGUUGGUUUUUGGUCCCCAAGAGUCAACGUAGUUUCAGGCCUCAACUCCUGUUGCUUCUGUAAGACUGAGUGUUCUGUACGAUGACGGGAAACUGUAGGACAUACUCCUGUGGGAUGAUGGGGCCCAGGUGACACAGACCCCAGCUGGUGAGUAGCCAAGCUAUUUAAAGUGCACUGAAGGAGGUCACUUCUCUGCAGAUAGGUCCAGUUUUGGACCUGAGCUUUGUGGUUCUUUAGAGGAAAAAAUGAUGUAAAAGCAAUGGUUUUUUAAAACGUAAUUGUUAUAUAAUUAUCUGAAGUAUUUCACUACGUUUAUCAAUAUUUUAGUUGUUUUGAUAAAUACCUAACUGUGUCAGAGAAAAAAUUGGGCAGAGAUUGGAUUCAGACCGAUAAACAAUCACAAGAUUUUUACAUUGGUAGUUCUUCACUGAACGUGCUUUGCCUCCCAGGAACGCCAAGGAUGCAUGUUUCAGGGGGACACUCAAAGGCUGUUUUACGCCAACAGGACCAACACAUAUGAGGGUGAUAUUUUUGCGAACAAGCCGAUCAAAAUUCUAUGAUUCCUAUAAGCUUUGUGGCUUGCAAGUAUGGAUUAUGUUUGCUUGUUUGUUUAUUUAUUUAUUUUAAAGAUGAAGGGAUUUUUUUUUAAGAUUUUAUUUAUUUUUCAUGAGAGACAGAGAGUCAGUGACAGAGGUGGAGGGAGAAGCAGGCUCCGUGCAGGGAGCCCGAUGCAGGACUCAAACCCAGGACCCUGGGAUCACGACCUGAGUCAAAGGCAGGUGCUCAACCACUGAGCCACCCAGGCGUCCCAGAUUAUGUUUAAUCUAAAUCACUUUACUCUGGUAUAAAUAUCAGAAAGUAUUUUUAACUUAUAACUUUAGUAAACAGGGACGGAAUUAUUUAGAAAGCCAAAGAAAAAGGUUGUGGCUCUGGAAUCACUAAAUGAGAAAUACAACCAUAACUUUGUGUACCUCACCACUGCUCAUGAUUACUAAUAUCUGGGAGUACUCCUUUCAUGCAUUUCUUCCAGGCAGCACUUGUACAUUGUUGUGAUAAUUUUUUUGCAAAUAUUAUUUUAGAAAUCUGUUUUGUCCAGAUAAUAUUUUAAUAUAAGCAUUUUAAUCAUCUUAACAUAUCCUUUUAAUAAUGCUCUUACGUCUGAAUGAUCAGUGUAAUAGUUGCAUAAGACCUCAUGAUGUAUGGAUCAGAAAAAAAAAUCAUUAAAAAUUACAAUCUGCAUGAGUAACAGCUCAUGACAUAAAAAGGAAAAUUGGCAGGAAGAUCUCAGUUGUGGCGUAAAAAUACAUACUUUGAAAGCAUAUUAGUUAUUGGAUACAUGGUGUGAAGGUGGGAUUCACUCACUUUCAGUUGUCUAUACUCUAUUACUAGACUUGAUAAAAUUCACCCCGUGGAAGUGGAUUUAGGAGAAGUUGUGGUUGGCGUGUGGAUGUGUGUGGACGUGUGUGUGCGUGUGCAUACAGAAAUGUCGAGGCCUAUCUAGCAUGCAUGGUGACAGGGAAAUAAUUGUUAAGCGGCUGUUAAAUGGCAGGUGUGGUCUUAUGUGUUUUAUGUACAUUAAUAAAUAUUUUACUGCCCCAACUGUCCUCUUCUGACCACAGUAUGGGACACCCUGGAAAAGCCUGUAUGGAAACCCCAUCUUAAUUUCUAAAAUGUGACACAUAAACCCGAAACACUGCAGCUAUGUCAUCCUGGCAGGGUGUCAGAUAUAGAGACAAACCAAUUAGACAACAUGAAAUAAUUAGUACAACGGUUUACUGUAAUUUGUUGAAAAAUGCCCAGGAAAAAAAAAAAAAAGAAAAAAAAA
This 4990-nucleotide long non-coding RNA is filed under the name Canis lupus familiaris (dog). Its description in RNAcentral is "lncRNA (ENSCAFG00845016776.1)". Lineage: Eukaryota; Metazoa; Chordata; Mammalia; Carnivora; Canidae. The record is from RNAcentral.